Molecule: long non-coding RNA, 475 nt
Filed under: Bos taurus (domestic cattle)
Lineage: Eukaryota; Metazoa; Chordata; Mammalia; Artiodactyla; Bovidae
Description: long non-coding RNA NONBTAT023204
Source: RNAcentral
AUUUAGGAGGGCUUAAACUAAAUUCUUGGCAGUGGGAAUGGAGUUGGGGUUGAAAACUGUAUAGGUGGUCUUAAAUGGUCUUUUGGAUGUGGAGUGGUGAGGGAAAGGGGAGAGCCCACUUCUGGUUUAUUCAGAAGAAAAGACAGGUGGAUAUGAGACUCUAAUUGAAGAAGGGGUCUGGGCCAGAGAUGAGGCUCUGCAAGACAGCUUAUAGGAGCCACACAUAUAGAUGGGACUGCCUAGGAAAAUUAUGUAGAGUCAGAAGAGGAGAGGUUUCAGAUGGAACAGGGGGCCAGAACAUCCAAGGGUCAGCAAACUCAGGAGUCAGCACCUGGCCCUGAAGAAGCUAAUGCAGCAUGGCCUGAGUGGAAUAAAUCAGAUUGAAUAGAUGUGGCAUGUGGGGAGAUGGGACUUGAAGACCACUUUUUCAAUAUGCAACUGUGGACAGGAGGCAGGAUGGCAAAAGCAGUAUCUG